UACAGAGGUGGCAAGCGUUGUUCGGAAUUACUGGGCGUAAAGGGCGCGUAGGCGGUCUUGCAAGUCCCGUGUGAAAUCCCUCGGCUCAACUGAGGAAUGGCACGGGAAACUGCUUGGCUUGAGUUCGGGAGAGGGAAGCGGAAUUCCGGGUGUAGCGGUGAAAUGCGUAGAUAUCCGGAGGAACACCGGUGGCGAAGGCGGCUUCCUGGACCGACACUGACGCUGAGGUGCGAAAGCUAGGGGAGCAAACGGG
This 253-nucleotide ribosomal RNA is filed under the name uncultured bacterium. RNAcentral's name for it is "partial 16S ribosomal RNA". It matches the Rfam family "Bacterial small subunit ribosomal RNA", at positions 524 to 776 of the family's 1533-position model. The record is from RNAcentral.